This 77-nucleotide transfer RNA is filed under the name Rickettsia endosymbiont of Cimex lectularius. Its description in RNAcentral is "tRNA-Arg". It matches the Rfam family "tRNA". Rfam says of the family: Transfer RNA (tRNA) molecules are approximately 80 nucleotides in length. Their secondary structure includes four short double-helical elements and three loops (D, anti-codon, and T loops). Further hydrogen bonds mediate the characteristic L-shaped molecular structure. tRNAs have two regions of fundamental functional importance: the anti-codon, which is responsible for specific mRNA codon recognition, and the 3' end, to which the tRNAs corresponding amino acid is attached (by aminoacyl-tRNA synthetases). tRNAs cope with the degeneracy of the genetic code in two manners: having more than one tRNA (with a specific anti-codon) for a particular amino acid; and 'wobble' base-pairing, i.e. permitting non-standard base-pairing at the 3rd anti-codon position. RNAcentral also lists the same sequence under 1 other name. Lineage: Bacteria; Pseudomonadati; Pseudomonadota; Alphaproteobacteria; Rickettsiales; Rickettsiaceae. The record is from RNAcentral.
GAAGCCGUAGCUCAGCAGGAUAGAGCGAGCGAUUCCUAAUCGCUAGGUCGGAGGUUCGAAUCCCCCCGGUUUCGCCA